UGACGUCACUAAUUAAUCUGGAGAAAGUGAAUGAUCCAGUGCCGUACCUGAUAAGUAAUACCAAAAAGCUACCUGUUCAGUAACCAGGGCACUUUGGUGCAGGCCAGAGCCGAUCUCAGUUUGACAGCUUCAGCUGCGACUGUGGCCUUCUGGAACAUCUGCCAGCCAAAAUUCCACUCUUCUGCACCACCUGCAGCGAUGGCGUCACAGUACACCGUCGACCUCAGGACCUGGUGAUCGGACUCCAGUUGGCUGAGAAGUCGCUCCCAGUUCCCAAGGUCGUAGUUCACUCUGAAGUAACCUGACACAUGGAGGUUGGCCAGCACCCAUUCAUUUUUGCUGACUUUCAUGGGGUUGUGUAGAGCUUAGAGCAGAUAAAAUAAGGAUAUGGUGUUGAACAUUUCGCUGAUUUCUGAGGGUGUGUUGACCUCUUCCUCCUUUCGGGAGAGGGGGUGAGAGGAAGUCAAGCUAUCCACAGCAAACGCUCUUUGCAGGUCAUAAAGAAUCAUCUGGUCUUUCUGGCGAGAGACAGAGUUGAUUGUAAAUUACGUUACAAGGUGGGCUCAGCAUAAUCAGCGCCCAGAUACUCCACGUAUGAAGCGAAUCCCUCGUUCAGCCAGAGAUCAUUCCACCAUUUCAGCGUCACAAGGUUUCCAAACCACUGGAAGACACAUAAAUCACAUGGCAAACUGUGCGAAGCAAAAAACGUCCGCGGAUCGUAUAGAAGAGCCGUCUCUCUAUAAGUGACAAGACCCCAGUUUUCCAUGGCUCCUGAGUUGAAGUCAGGCAAUGCAAUCUGGUCUAAGAAAACAGGAGGAUAACUGCUUAUUCUACUGUGCUUUUAAGGUGCUGUCAUUUCCAGGUCAUGGAUGAGAGUGAUAUGAAACACAGCUUUCAUGCCAGGUUCAUCGAAACACGGGAAAGCUUUUCUAGCAAACCCUCCAGAUCAUCAGCAAGCUCUCCUGUGAACUCUGUGUAGAGCCAAUAGGACUUGCCAGGCUUCAGUUUUCCCUCCAGUUGAAUUACCAGGUGCUUCCUCUUGAUGCCUGGCCUCAUUUACCAUCUUCCUGUUAUCAUGUUAUUCCACCAGCUGGAUCUGAAUAUAAACCAGUAUGGAAAUUGAUCCUAACAGCUGUAAAACCAUUUUGCUUAAAUGCUUGUCUGACAGCUAUAAGCCUUUCGCUCUGCUGCGUACGACCAUCUCAACCUGGAAGUUAUUUGAUUCUGUCUGCUCGCUUGAUUCCUGGAAAGAAGAGAAAAAGCCCUCCCUAGAAUCAUUCUCAAGGAGAUUCUUACAUGCAGGUAUAUAACUGGAUCAUCAGCAUACAUCUGACAAUUUGCAGUAGGUGCACAAGCAUCAGGAAAGUCAUUAUUAUACAAACUGAAUAACAAAGGACCUAAUAUUGAACCUUGAGGUACACCAACUGAAUUAAUAAACAGCUCCCACCGUGAAGAACUUCUUGUGGAAUAGAAAGGUUCCCUGUAUAAUAAAGGUUCUUUGUGGAACCACUGAUGUCAAUAAACAACAUUUAUUUUUAGGAGCGUGAGGAGAUAUUUGGAUUGGGGCACAUUUAUAAUUUUUCACCCCUUUUCCCAUCUCAUCCCGAAUUCCAUUCCUCCUCAAAAACAAACAGUGGCUCAUUAGCAUGUGUGACCCUCUGGUGGUAAACACAUUUAUUUCCACUUGAGCGCAGAGAGAGAAUUAAAGCAACAAGGGGCGCUCGAGGUAGGUGGGCUGUGUGCCGUCUUUAUGGGGACGGUUUAUGAGGAUUUAACAAAUGCAAGAGGACAGGCAAAACAUUGAGUGGGUGGGGAGAUCGGAAGGGCACGCUGGUACAGUUUGUGCUCGUUGGAGGCUGGAUCGCUGUAGUUGUAGUCUUGGGUGGCCGUGGAUGUACAGUCCAUUGUUUAAUGGGUGUAUGUGUGCUCUCUCCCUAUAAUUUUCUAAAUGUGACAAGGGCUUAAAUGUGUGUGCCAGGAUCGAGUUAUUUGUGCCACGUUAACACAGUUCUUUUGUGCUCUCCUCUUUGGGCCGAAAGAGCUCUGUAAUUAUGCUGAUAAUCAAGACUGUCACAGAUUAUACUUCGGUAAAAAGGCUUUUCUUGUUUCAUUAGAGAAAGGACCACCAACAUCCAAACAAACCCUGAGCUUGCUGUGCUCUGUAUCCCCUGUUUGUUUGAAAACGGACUGUAUCAGCCACAGGGUUCAAUGAUAAUCUUCAGUAUCGGAAGGCAGUUAAUUGUACUAUUUAUACAUGUUUAUACCUAAAAGAAUUGGUUUUGAAUCAUCUCAAAAGGAAUAAUGCCCAUGCAGCUUACUGACCACUGUCUCUACCUAAUAUACUCCAGAAUUUGUGCCCCGUUUGUGAUCGUGGUUAGUGUAAUCAUAGAAUUUGACUUUUUAUCUUUUUUUUCAAAUUGCUGUAAUUUUUAUUUGGUUUUAUUUUAUAUGUAUUUUUAAGUUAUUAUUCUUUUCAUGGACACUAUAAUGUGGAGGUUUGAAAAUAUUCAUGAUUAUGCAGUUUUUUUUAAUUUAUUUACUUAAUUUUCAUUUUGUUUUAUUUUAGAUAUAUUUUAAAAUGAUUACUGUUAGUAUUAUUGUCACAGACAACAUAAUGUGGA
Onychostoma macrolepis is the source of this 2621-nucleotide long non-coding RNA. RefSeq lists it as uncharacterized. The transcript has 14 exons. The record is from RefSeq and is a predicted model, not a curated record. Lineage: Eukaryota; Metazoa; Chordata; Actinopteri; Cypriniformes; Cyprinidae.